RNAcentral lists this ribosomal RNA (312 nucleotides) under Escherichia coli. RNAcentral describes it as "partial 23S ribosomal RNA". It matches the Rfam family "Bacterial large subunit ribosomal RNA", at positions 1295 to 1610 of the family's 2925-position model. The record is from RNAcentral. Lineage: Bacteria; Pseudomonadati; Pseudomonadota; Gammaproteobacteria; Enterobacterales; Enterobacteriaceae.
UGCUGACAUAAGUAACGAUAAAGCGGGUGAAAAGCCCGCUCGCCGGAAGACCAAGGGUUCCUGUCCAACGUUAAUCGGGGCAGGGUGAGUCGACCCCUAAGGCGAGGCCGAAAGGCGUAGUCGAUGGGAAACAGGUUAAUAUUCCUGUACUUGGUGUUACUGCGAAGGGGGGACGGAGAAGGCUAUGUUGGCCGGGCGACGGUUGUCCCGGUUUAAGCGUGUAGGCUGGUUUUCCAGGCAAAUCCGGAAAAUCAAGGCUGAGGCGUGAUGACGAGGCACUACGGUGCUGAAGCAACAAAUGCCCUGCUUCCA